GUUCGCUCACUUAUUAUGGUCCAGCCAACUCUUUUCCAGUAUUCAUUCGACGGCCCCCCUGUCCCUGUUCUCUUAGACAUCUGCUCCGUCUCUCCUGACGUUAUCUUGCUCUUUGAUUCCUACUUCUAUGUGGUUAUUCAUUAUGGCUCUAAGAUUGCACAAUGGCGUAAACUUGGCUAUGACAAGGAUCCUAGCCACGACAGUUUCCGCAAACUGUUAGAAGCUCCUGAGAUCGAUGCAGAGCAACUAGUAUCCGAAAGGAUUCCUGUGCCAAAACUUGUAAAAUGUGACCAGCAUAGUAGUCAGGCUAGA
RNAcentral lists this unclassified non-coding RNA (312 nucleotides) under Hevea brasiliensis (rubber tree). Lineage: Eukaryota; Viridiplantae; Streptophyta; Magnoliopsida; Malpighiales; Euphorbiaceae. The record is from RNAcentral.